Molecule: transfer RNA, 86 nt
Filed under: Anaerolineae bacterium
Lineage: Bacteria; Bacillati; Chloroflexota; Anaerolineae
Description: tRNA-Leu
Rfam family: tRNA
About the family: Transfer RNA (tRNA) molecules are approximately 80 nucleotides in length. Their secondary structure includes four short double-helical elements and three loops (D, anti-codon, and T loops). Further hydrogen bonds mediate the characteristic L-shaped molecular structure. tRNAs have two regions of fundamental functional importance: the anti-codon, which is responsible for specific mRNA codon recognition, and the 3' end, to which the tRNAs corresponding amino acid is attached (by aminoacyl-tRNA synthetases). tRNAs cope with the degeneracy of the genetic code in two manners: having more than one tRNA (with a specific anti-codon) for a particular amino acid; and 'wobble' base-pairing, i.e. permitting non-standard base-pairing at the 3rd anti-codon position.
Source: RNAcentral
GGCCUUCUGGCGGAAUUGGUAGACGCGCUUGACUCAAAAUCAAGUGUGCUUUGCACGUCCCGGUUCGAGUCCGGGGAAGGCCACCA